RNAcentral lists this transfer RNA (85 nucleotides) under Patescibacteria group bacterium. RNAcentral describes it as "tRNA-Leu". It matches the Rfam family "tRNA". Rfam says of the family: Transfer RNA (tRNA) molecules are approximately 80 nucleotides in length. Their secondary structure includes four short double-helical elements and three loops (D, anti-codon, and T loops). The record is from RNAcentral.
GCCGGGAUGGCGGAAUUGGUAGACGCUGCGGACUUAAAAUCCGCCGGAAAACUCUUCCAUGCCGGUUCGAGUCCGGCUCUCGGCA